RNAcentral lists this ribosomal RNA (164 nucleotides) under uncultured bacterium. Its description in RNAcentral is "partial 16S rRNA". It matches the Rfam family "Bacterial small subunit ribosomal RNA", at positions 355 to 511 of the family's 1533-position model. The record is from RNAcentral.
UAGGGAAUCUUCCACAAUGGGCGCAAGCCUGAUGGAGCAACACCGCGUGAGUGAAGAAGGGUUUCGGCUCGUAAAGCUCUGUUGUUAAAGAAGAACACGUAUGAGAGUAACUGCUCAUACGUUGACGGUAUUUAACCAGAAAGUCACGGCUAACUACGUGCCAA